AUGGAACGAAGAAAGAAAAGGUUAGGAGGAAAACGGGAAGAGGGAGAGGGGAAGAGGAAGGAAGGCGCCGGCGGGCAGCACUGCCGCCGCGCCGUCGUGUUACCGCCGAAGGAGAGGAAGCCGUGGACCAUGGUCACGGGUGGAAGAGAGAGCGCGAGCCAGGGCACGCGAGACGGAGCCGCCACUGCUGGGUCGCCGUCCAUCCUCGUCCCACCGCGUCUCGCGAUCACCGCCGCCGCGCCAGUCACCCUUCGAGCUUGCCAUCAAAGACGUCGCGUCUCUGUCAUGCGAGGGGAGUGUGACCCACCGCGCGGAGCUGCGCUGCCGUGCAUGUCCGCUGUCGUCACUGACUGACCAGCCCGUCGCGUCGCCGCCGUCAAAUCCGUCCCUUGCCGCCGCCGUUGAAGCUGCGAACAGAGAAGAGGGAAAGGGAUGAGUCGCGCGGAAGCUACCUGCGUCACCACUGGAGGGGAGAUCUGCGCCGUUACUGCGGUUUAUGCCGCCGGAAUUGCUCUGCCGCCACCAGAAUUUCUGGUCGCUGCCGUUUUGUGGCUGUCAUAAGUUACGUUGUCGCUGCCGGAUAAGCUGUUGUGGUCGCCGGAACCAUCACCGGAGCUUCUGCAGUUUGAUUCAGUCUUUAAUCCUUUCUCACGGGUCAAGCUCCGGUAAUUGCGGGUCACGAUUAAAGC
Non-coding RNA from Arachis ipaensis, 689 nucleotides. The record is from RefSeq and is a predicted model, not a curated record. NCBI's taxonomy places the organism in Eukaryota, Viridiplantae, Streptophyta, Magnoliopsida, Fabales, Fabaceae.